UUAACAGGAGACAGGUGAUGCAUGGUUGUCGUCAGUUCGUGUCGUGAGAUGUUGGGUUAAGUCCCGCAACGAACGCAACCCUUAUUGCUAGUUACCAUCAUUAAGUUGGGGGACUCUAGCGAGACUGCCAGUGAUAAACUGGAGGAAGGUGGGGAUGACGUCAAAUCAUCAUGCCCCUUAUGACCUGGGCUACAAACGUGCUACAAUGGCUAUUACAAAGGGAUGCGAAGCUGUGAAGUGGAGCCAACCCAUAAAGAUAGUCUCAGUUCAGAUCGAAGUCUGCAACUCGACUUCGUGAAGUCGGAAUCGCUAGUAAUCGCGAAUCAGAAUGUCGCGGUGAAUACGUUCUCGGGGUUU
RNAcentral lists this ribosomal RNA (357 nucleotides) under uncultured Acholeplasma sp. Its description in RNAcentral is "bacterial SSU rRNA". It matches the Rfam family "Bacterial small subunit ribosomal RNA", at positions 1024 to 1382 of the family's 1533-position model. Lineage: Bacteria; Bacillati; Mycoplasmatota; Mollicutes; Acholeplasmatales; Acholeplasmataceae. The record is from RNAcentral.